Molecule: non-coding RNA, 4992 nt
Organism: Paramuricea clavata
Lineage: Eukaryota; Metazoa; Cnidaria; Anthozoa; Malacalcyonacea; Plexauridae
Source: the annotation of a GenBank genome assembly
AUUGAAACUCGAAAGUUUCGAUAUUUUUAGCCAGUUUAUCAUGGUAUUGUUUCUCAAAGACUGCCAGUUUACUGUAGACCUUACUUCUAAACACUUUCCUUAUAAAAGAAAGCAAGAAAUUCGUCGGAGAAUCACAGAAUAUGGAGGGACAAUUUCGUACAUUCUGAACAACAAGGUAUGUCAAAAUAGCUUUCACUACAAAGCAGUAUCGCGCAGCAAAUGCUGGCCAACCUGCAGUUAUCAGAAUGAGAAAGUGAUGUUCAUUCCUUUCAUUACAUAGAGUAGUCUUGUACUUGGUAGAAAAUGUUUAGAAGCGAGUGAUGCAACUUUUAAUUUGCUUGCUCUUAAUAAAUAUGUGAACAUUUUUGAAAGUUGCUUGCUCCACGUUAUGAAAUAUUUGAAGUUAGUUCGCUUGUGUUAGCAAGAGUGAAUAUUCCGUGUGUAUGUGUAUUCAUUGGAAACUAUGAAAUGUGUGAAGUAUGUUAAAACAGCAGUUGUCCCUGAGGCGACGGUGCGAGGGUACUAUUUCCCCCCGGCUAUUUACACCUGGCCAGGGUGCAUUCCAUGUAGAGUGCACGCCGAAGUUCCGCUGCUGGAAAAUUCGCACACGCCGCCAGACUACCAGAUUCAAUUAAUCAAAAAAAUUUCGGUCAGUGUGCCAUUUUAGGGGUCAAAAAUUUCCGGACAUCCCAAAAGUUUUCGUUGCAUAAAACAAUUUUUCUCGGCAUUACCAAAUUUUCUCCAUUUAUCCAACUUUUUUUUCUUAAAUCCGAAAAUUUUGUCAAUUUAGCUCAUUCUCCAAAUUCACACUUAUUUUUGUUAAUUAACUUUCUCUGGGCCUAGAAAUUACCUGAAUUUGCGUUCAUUUACCCGACUUUCCUCUGCAAAUCUACCUGGAUUUACCUGAAAUUGCUCACAUGAGCAAUUAUUGGUGGGUGUUACUGUUACACCCCCCGGUCGGCACGGCCCUGUGCGUGUGUGGUUUUAGACACAAUAAAACACGAGUCGCAAGUGUAUUGAACGGCUUCAAAAACCAAUUAGUAUUCUUUAUAUGAGGAAUACUAAGUAUAGGAAGUGUUUUAUCAAAUAUGAACCACUGCAUGUAACAUAUUAUACUUGAUUUGGUUGCCAAAAAAGAUCAUGAAACUGUUAAGUUAUCCGAUAAACAAUAGAGACUUAACGACGAUCUUUUCUGAUUGUAUUAUAUUAAGUUUGUAUGCCGUUGAGGGAAAAAAAAGACUAUGCCGUCACGCCAACAUUAGCAUUUGCACGCUGCUGCGCCGUAGGGCAUCGCAACUCCACGACGAAGAUCUUCGGGUUUGGCUACAUGGAAUGCACCCUGGACACCCGGGGAAACAAAGGCAUUAGCAAAGUCUAAAGUUCAUCAAUCAUUGCGGGCGUGGGCAGGGGCGUAAAUGUGGGGGGUGUAGGGGGGUGGUUCACCCCCCCCCCCAGAGAAAUGAUCCAGUCGGUCUCAAAAUUAUGCUGUUUACAUGCAAUGCUUUGCGAAGCAAAUUAAAUAUUUUCGAAACUCGAGAUAGACUCAAACUAUUUAGUAUUGAGUUGGAAAUUUGCUCAGAAAUAAUAUGAAGAAAUAUUAUGUACUUAUUUCGUGAGUUUAUGAAUGAAUUAUCAGUUGGCACUUUUAUUUGGAACUUAGGUUCUGCAAGGUCAUUCACGGGUGAUAUUCUAUAAUUGUAUAAGUGAAAAUUUCAAACCCCCCAAAUCAGACUCCAAAAUGCGAUGAAUGUCAAUCAAAAUAGCUAACAUUAGUUACAAUAUUUCUCCGGUCCCUAAACUAUAAGAUGCAAAACAUGCAAAGUGCAAAAACGAAUUUCUAGCCAAGUUAUAUUAGGAAUUACGUUCACAUGUAACACGAUAUGCAUAUGGAUUUUGUUACCAAAGAGUUUUAUGUGCCUACUGCAAUCAACUGAGAAAUUCGAUCAGUGAACGACGCACUGGUUUAACUGAAAUCACGGAGCGAAAAAUGUUUCCACUUACUAGGCGAUGUUUCCAAUUGUUGCUUACAGUCAGGCCGAUAACUAGGUAUAUGAGUCAAUCGAGUUCAAGUUCAAUGACAGACUGUAGUUCUCUCCAUGUGAGGCAUUAUUCUUGCCCUACAGUGACGUAAGAAAUGGGAGGCUGUGUGGGUGCACAAGUACCCCAAUAACAAAAGUGCAGGCCAGUGCCCAAAUAUUACAACAAUUGAGCACAAAUACUUUUUUAUUAUGCACCUGAUCAAUGAUGUUCGACCAAAAAUAUUUGUAAUUCUUAGCCUCAGGAUUGGGGGCAAACAGCAAACUACAGUAUAAAAUUAUAGUCAUUGUGUCACUGUUUAUGAAAUUGAUUUUGUGGUUUAAACUGCUCCCAGAAUGCAGGAAAUAGCGUUUCUAAGCCUUGGAAAAUCAAAAAUUUUCUGGGGGAGCAGACCCCCCAAAAGUGUCUCGGUCAAUCAAAAAUACUAUAGUUACGCGCCUGACAGUUCCUGUAACAUCCGAUGCAUCAGCCGAGCGCAGCUUUUCAAAUUUGAAGUCGGUGAAAACUGUUAUGCAUUCAGUAAUGAACCAGGAACACCUUGGUGAACUCUUGACUCUUGUGUGUGAGCGCGAUCUAACAGACACAGUCACACGAUCGAUCUUGACGAAAUUGCUAAUCCGUGGUCAAACCUGACUAAGGGCAGACACUUAACGUUUCACAGCAAACUGUACAUGUUCUUGUUUUGUACUCGAUUUUAUUGCAACACACCAACUCACCAAGAGUUGGUCUGGAUUCACAUUUCAGUGGUGGGUUGGUCUCAUUUCGUGAUUACACCCUCCCAGUCAAAAUCAAUAUGUCCGCCCCUGCGCGUGGGUCACCAACGGUGUUGGAGUGUUGUGUGUUGGUGGACUGUCAUGAAUAGCAGACACUGAUUGGUCCAAUUUAAAGUUUGCAUUAUAACAACUGCAUGACGACAGCGAAAUAACAUACAUUUCUUGAUUUGAUGAUUGAUAAAUUUCUUGCAAAUAUAUUUCAUUUUUGUUGCAUUUUUACAAGAUUUUGUAAAUUUCAAAAGCUUUCUCAGAAAGAUAUUGCGAAAAAAACCUUGACAGCCUUUGCGUAUGUUUUAAAACUCGAUGGCCUUUGCGUAAUGUUUAAAACCUGAUGGCCUUUGCGAAUGUGAAACAACUAAACCAGGCAGCAUAUAAUUUCAGUGUAUUUUUAAUUAAUAUUGAUUCCCUUUUUUAUUAUAGUGAAUUUUUUAAAUAAAAAAAGAAAACAAAGUUAUUUGCAUGCGAGAAUUUGAAAUCAUUUUAUUGCAAACUCAAAGUUUAUCGAUAAAGCCGUAGGCAGUUUAGUUUUGUGAACGACACUUUAAAACGUUUUGCAAAACGUUUGUGGUUGAAUUUUACCUUAAAUUGAAGCUUAUAUUAUUUAUAUAAUAACAUACCUAACAUAUAUAUGUUGGGAAAUUGAUAAUGUUGUCAAUUAAAAGUGAUAUUUUGAGGGGAUUUUUCAUUUGUAAGAAUAUUCUUAUAAAAUUAUCGUGUUACCAUGUCAACUACUUUAGAUACUUCAUGUUCGGAAAAUACAAUGGUUUUGUCAGCAAGGAGAGAGUUUCUAACUUUCUGCAUGCAUGUAUUUUCUAGUAUUUGGCCUAUUUUUGCCUUGGCAACUUUGAGGGUUUUAUCAUUUGCUUUGGCAAUUCUGAAGUGCUGAGGUGAAUUAUGAAGUUUGCACAAUGAUAGACCAGUGGUGGAUCCAGCAAAGUUGUUUUGGGGGGUGCUAACCAAUGGCAAAACAAGCGCCGAAGGUGCGAGAUUUCUAUGGGGGUCUGGUGGUCCCCUGAAAAUUUUUAAAAUUUGGGUCUCUGAAAUGGCAUUUCCAGCAUUCUGAGAAAACAUUCUGGAAAAUUUUUAGAUUCUCAAAACAUUUAAAAAUUCAGAAUACUUAAUAUUGGCUAUUCUGCUAUUGUCAACUGGUGAUACCCAACUGAAUUCCUUAGCAUAAGAUAGACUAGAUUUGAUGUUAGUAAUAUGCAUGUAUUCGCAAGUUCGUAUAUACUGUGAACAAAAAGCAAUAUAAACAUACAGUAUAUAAUCUAUACUAAAACAACAACACUUCUGUAUUAGAGAGCUGUCUGUAUUAGAGAGGUGUCUGUAUUAGAGAGAUGUCUGUAUUAGAGAGGUGUCUGUAUUAGAGAGGUGUCUGUAUUAGAGAGAUGUUUGUAUUAGAGAGAUUUCUGUAUUAGAGAGGUGUCUGUAUUAGAGAGAUGUCUGUAUUAGAGAGAUGUCUGUAUUAGAGUGAUGUCUGUAUUAGAGAGGUGUCGGUAUUAGAGAGGUGUCGGUAUUAGAGAGAUGUCUGUAUUAGAGACUAGAGAGAUGUCUGUAUUAGAGAGAUGUCUGUAUGAGAGGUGUCUGUAUUAGAGAGGUGUCUGUAUUACAGAGAUGUUUGUAUUAGAGAGAUGUCUGUAUUAGAGAGAUGUAUGUAUUAGAGAGAUGACUGUAUGAGAGAGGUGUCUGUAUUAGAGAGGUGUCUGUAUUAGAGAGAUGUUUGUAUUAGAGAGGUGUCUUUAUUAGAGAGAUGUCUGUAUUAGAGAGAUGUCUGUAUUAGAGAGGUGUCUGUAUUAGAGAGAUGUAUGUAUUAGAGAGAUGUCUGUAUGAGAGAGGUGUCUGUAUUAGAGAGGUGUCUGUAUUAGAGUGGUGUCUAUGUUAGGGAGGUGUCUGUAUUAGAGAAGUGUCUGUAUUAGAGAGGUGUCUGUAUUAGAGAGAUGUCUGUCUUAGAGUGGUGUCAGUGUUAGGGAGGUGUCUGUCUUAGAGUGGUGUCUAUGUUAGGGAGGUGUCUGUAUACCGACUCCUCUCUGAUGCAGACACCUCUCUAAUAUAGACAUGUCUCUAAUACAGACAUCUCUCUAAUACAGACACCUCUCUAAUACCAAAUCUGUUUAUUUAGACCAAGUUAUUUGUGUCAGAAAACAAAGAGAUUACUGAAACAUACAAAGGCAGAACAGCAGUG